AGUGAACGCUGGCGGUAGGCCUAACACAUGCAAGUCGAACGGCAGCACAGUAAGAGCUUGCUCUUACGGGUGGCGAGUGGCGGACGGGUGAGGAAUACAUCGGAAUCUACUUUUUCGUGGGGGAUAACGUAGGGAAACUUACGCUAAUACCGCAUACGACCUACGGGUGAAAGCAGGGGAUCUUCGGACCUUGCGCGAUUGAAUGAGCCGAUGUCGGAUUAGCUGGUUGGCGGGGUAAAGGCACACCAAGGCGACGAUCCGUAGCUGGUCUGAGAGGAUGAUCAGCCACACUGGAACUGAGACACGGUCCAGACUCCUACGGGAGGCAGCAGUGGGGAAUAUUGGACAAUGGGCGCAAGCCUGAUCCAGCCAUACCGCGUGGGUGAAGAAGGCCUUCGGGUUGUAAAGCCCUUUUGUUGGGAAAGAAAAGCAGCAGGUUAAUACCCCGCUGUUCUGACGGUACCCAAAGAAUAAGCACCGGCUAACUUCGUG
This 492-nucleotide ribosomal RNA is filed under the name uncultured bacterium. Its description in RNAcentral is "partial 16S ribosomal RNA". It matches the Rfam family "Bacterial small subunit ribosomal RNA", at positions 29 to 507 of the family's 1533-position model. The record is from RNAcentral.